This 422-nucleotide ribosomal RNA is filed under the name uncultured bacterium. RNAcentral describes it as "bacterial SSU rRNA". It matches the Rfam family "Bacterial small subunit ribosomal RNA", at positions 355 to 774 of the family's 1533-position model. The record is from RNAcentral.
UAAGGAAUAUUGGACAAUGGAGGCAACUCUGAUCCAGCCAUGCCGCGUGAAGGAAUAAGGCCCUAUGGGUUGUAAACUUCUUUUAGACGGGACAAAACCCCUUUACGUGUAAAGGGUUGAUGGUACUGUCAGAAUAAGCAUCGGCUAACUUCGUGCCAGCAGCCGCGGUAAUACGAAGGAUGCAAGCGUUAUCCGGAAUUAUUGGGUUUAAAGGGUGCGUAGGCGGACUAAUAAGUCAGUGGUGAAAGCCUGCAGCUUAACUGCAGAAUUGCCAUGGAUACUGUUAGUCUUGAGUACAGUUGAGGUAGGCGGAAUGUGUCAUGUAGCGGUGAAAUGCUUAGAUAUGACACAGAACACCGAUUGCGAGGGCAGCUUGCUAAGCUGUAACUGACGCUGAGGCACGAAAGCGUGGGGAGCAAACA